CAGGCUGUACUUUCAGGAAUCAUUUCUAUAGUUUGUUACUAGAGAAAUUUCUCUGAACAUGGAGAGCACCAGAAAAUAUU
Small nucleolar RNA from Callithrix jacchus (white-tufted-ear marmoset), 80 nucleotides. Its record names the gene U3. It matches the Rfam family "Small nucleolar RNA U3". From Rfam's summary of the family: Small nucleolar RNAs (snoRNAs) are involved in the processing and modification of rRNA in the nucleolus. There are two main classes of snoRNAs: the box C/D class, and the box H/ACA class. U3 snoRNA is a member of the box C/D class. Lineage: Eukaryota; Metazoa; Chordata; Mammalia; Primates; Cebidae. The record is from Ensembl.